This 402-nucleotide ribosomal RNA is filed under the name uncultured Pedomicrobium sp. RNAcentral's name for it is "partial 16S ribosomal RNA". It matches the Rfam family "Bacterial small subunit ribosomal RNA", at positions 355 to 774 of the family's 1533-position model. The record is from RNAcentral. Lineage: Bacteria; Pseudomonadati; Pseudomonadota; Alphaproteobacteria; Hyphomicrobiales; Hyphomicrobiaceae.
UGGGGAAUAUUGGACAAUGGGCGCAAGCCUGAUCCAGCCAUGCCGCGUGAGUGACGAAGGCCUUAGGGUUGUAAAGCUCUUUUGGCGGGGAAGAUAAUGACGGUACCCGCAGAAUAAGCUCCGGCUAACUUCGUGCCAGCAGCCGCGGUAAUACGAAGGGAGCUAGCGUUGUUCGGAAUCACUGGGCGUAAAGCGCACGUAGGUGGGUGACUAAGUUAGGGGUGAAAGCCCAAGGCUCAACCUUGGAAUUGCCUCUAAUACUGGUCAUCUAGAGUCCGAGAGAGGUGGGUGGAAUUCCUAGUGUAGAGGUGAAAUUCGUAGAUAUUAGGAAGAACACCGGUGGCGAAGGCGGCCCACUGGCUCGGUACUGACACUGAGGUGCGAAAGCGUGGGGAGCAAACA